UCCUGAUCAAUCACAUAGCAUGGACAUUGACAUUAGAGGGUAUGUCAUAGAAUCCAUACUAAUAGCAAGCAUAUACAACAUGGCAAACACUAGCGGCCUCCAAAAAAUGAAUUAGAUUCUAUACGGGGAUGUGAAGAAGCGUCCAGAGAUUCGUUACAGAGGGAUGCACCACAUACAACAUGAACCCAAGAAAGCAAGGUGGCACAUGUAACCGUACAAGCAACAUCUUGCAAUACCGUACAAGCAACAUCUUGCAAUACCUGGGUAGCCUCAGCAAAUAGAUACAGAAUGAUGAAGGAGAAGUAGUGCGUAUGGCUAUU
Molecule: long non-coding RNA, 320 nt
Filed under: Sorghum bicolor (sorghum)
Lineage: Eukaryota; Viridiplantae; Streptophyta; Magnoliopsida; Poales; Poaceae
Description: long non-coding RNA (SBIC_LNC001838)
Source: RNAcentral